Molecule: small nuclear RNA, 187 nt
Organism: Centropristis striata (black sea bass)
Lineage: Eukaryota; Metazoa; Chordata; Actinopteri; Perciformes; Serranidae
Product: U2 spliceosomal RNA
Exons: 1
Source: RefSeq, a predicted model, not a curated record
AGUGCUGCUCUCGGCCUUUUGGCUAAGAUCAAGUGUAGUAUCUGUUCUUAUCAGUUUAAUAAAAAUAAAUGUGUCUUUGGCAUCAGCACUCUGACACAUAUUUGUGGCUUUUACUGACUAAAUCGUGGAGAUUCAACCUUAAAGCAUCAUCUUCCAUUUUCACAAAGUGGAUUAAACCUGAAUUUUU